RNAcentral lists this ribosomal RNA (1044 nucleotides) under Triticum aestivum (bread wheat). Its description in RNAcentral is "partial small subunit ribosomal RNA". The record is from RNAcentral. Lineage: Eukaryota; Viridiplantae; Streptophyta; Magnoliopsida; Poales; Poaceae.
AUGCCACCUGGAUCCCAUGGACACCAUCUGGACAAAAGGAGUGCAUGUGUAUGGCCACCUGGAAGUGGUCGCAAGAGCGACCAGCAGAGGCGCCCUCGCGGCGGCCGGUGGCGGAAUGCAGUGGUGCUACGCAGUGCGCUUCUGUCGGUGACACCAUGCCUUCUCCCCGCCGGACGGUUGUUGGUCGGCACCGCACAUAGAAGAGUGGAGGGCUGUCGAUGGAGAAUGGCGAGGAGGGGUGCGCCUCCCCAACCGUCGAUGUCGCAGACUUUGAGGGCGCUGUCCGUGGGGAAAACAACAUGCCCAAGGUCCCCGACGCAGUGGACGAGAUCGAGGUCCUUUGCGCAGCGAAGCGCAACUAGGAGGAGCGGCAGCUGCAGACCACGCAACUCCCGCACACGCCGACGCGCUAGGAGGCCAUGUGCAGCAGCCUGCAGUCUCACCGCCGCCGACACGUGGCGGGUAGUGAUCCAAGCUGCAAGCGGUGACGGCGACGGUGGGAACUUGAUCUGCUGGAUGGGGACGCCCUGGGGAAGUGGUGAUGGCGACGGCGGGAACUUGAUCUGGUGGAUCGGGACUCCCGUCGGCGCGGUCGAUGCGGGGUCGGAGCUGACCUGCGAUGGCUGCUGCAGUUGCAGCGGCUGCUGCGGCGGAGUGCUGGGCGCGGCGGAGGUCGCCAGGAGCGGUGGCUGCCACUGCAGCCAGGGCGGGGCGGUGGUGGCGGUGGAUGGCAGCUGCUGCAGCGGCCCGGUGAGCGCGGCGGAGGCCACCUGGUGCGGCGGCUGCCACGGCAGCCAGGACGGGGCGGUGGUGGUGGUGGAUGGCAGCUGCAGCAGCCCGGCGGAGGCCGCCUGGUGCGGCGGCUGCCAUGACAGCCAGGACGGGGCGGUGGAUGGCAGCUGCAGCAGUCGCGGCGAGCGCGGCGGGGGGCGCCUGGUGCGGCGGCAGCCACGGCGGCGCGGUGGCGGUGAUGGGCGGCACAGCCGGGUGCAGCCCGUAGGACCCGGCCAAGAACAGGCGGAUCUCCUGGACCGCCUGUAUUAG